RNAcentral lists this long non-coding RNA (2119 nucleotides) under Phascolarctos cinereus (koala). RNAcentral's name for it is "lncRNA (ENSPCIG00000007137.2)". Lineage: Eukaryota; Metazoa; Chordata; Mammalia; Diprotodontia; Phascolarctidae. The record is from RNAcentral.
CAAUUUUAAAAUAAAUAUGUGCCACAGAGAACGUUGAGCAGGACAGAGAGAUGGUGACUUCUGAUGGGAAAAAUCAGUGCUGUCUUGGCUCAUUCUUGCCUUGAUGGAGGAAGAAAGUUUGGCUUCUCAAGGCAGGGAGGCUGAGGUUUUUAUCAACGCUGCUGCGUCUCUGUAAAGAUUCUGGCUGGGGGUAGGGUUUCCUUUAUCUCAGCAGAUGUAGGCUUAGGAAAACAGGAUCCAGGAGACUCAACAUGGCGGGCGGCUUGAACCAGAGCUUAAUUCUCAGCUCCUCAUCCAUCUCCUUAAUGAGCUGUGAGGGUGGACAAGUCACCUCCCCUCUGCUGCUGCCUCAAAAGAGUGAGGUCAAAGGUUGGUCUAGGAAGAUUGGGGGGGAGGGGAAGGGGAGGGGGAAGGAGCUCAUUUUGGAUCCCACUGGCCUUGGCAGAAUGAAUGUUCAGGAAAUCCUCUGAGACUAACAUCCUUCUUCCUGCAGGCCCUCAGUCAGCGUGGCUGGUCUCUGUGAGCAAGGAUGGAUGUGCCCCCAAGGAGGUUCCUGCUGAUGGUAUCCGCUCUCUGGCUGGUGUCCUGAACUGGCCCCUGAGUUGGCCCGGGCCACACUGGACGUGCUCUAUGUGCAGGUGUGUGCAAGGCUAUUGUGAAGCUCUUGUGAAUCGCUCCUCUCUGACCCCGGGAAACGCUUUCAGAGACAACCCCCAAGACACAAGAGACUGUCCUCGGGAGGCCCAGGUGAGCAGAUUGAUAUUCCUACAGGUUGGCAAAGUUUUGCUUCUCCUUAGUUUUAGGCCCAAAGAGUGCAAUUCUGAAUUCAACAUCUCAGCCAGGAGGAAAAUCCUGAAAACCAAACCCAUAUUGUUUUUCAGGAUUUCCUCUUUCCCUUGUCCGCUGGUCUAUUUAUGGGUCACAAUAGCAGCUUUCCUCAGUGGGCAGUCCAAUGUUGUACUCUGUCCCAUCCUCCAGAGGAUUCCCAAGGCCCUCCUUGGCUCCCCCCGCCACACAGUCAGUCAACAAGCAACAUUUAUUAAGCACUUACUAUGUGCUAGGCAUCGUAUUAAGCUCUUGGAGACACAAAGGAAGGUCCAAAAAAUGUCCCUGCCCUGAAAGAGUUCACAUUCAAGUUCACAUUCACACUUACUCUACGUACAGUACAGUACUGUACACGUUAAAAUUCAACAUCUUAAUUACACAGCUCUCCACCCUUGGGAUGGAAGAGUGAUGUAUUUCUAUCCAGGAGGGUCCCCAGAGAAAGGCUGACGGGGAGAUAAUUUCUACCACUCCUCAGAACACUUUGUACCUCGACUGUGCCUGGGUUUUAUCUCCUCUCCUAAACUGCAAACCGAGGUCCCUUCCAGCUCUGACAUUCCACAAUAUUGUUGUUGUUCAGUUAUUUCAGUUAUGUAUGACUCUUGGUGACCCCAUUUGGGGUUUUCUUGGCAGAAAAACUGGAGUGAUUUGCCAUUUCCUUCUCCAGCUCAUUUUACAGAUGAGGAAACAGACAAACAGGGUGAAGUGACUUGCCCAGGGUCACACAGCUAGGACGUGUCUGAGGCCCCAUUUGAAUCCAGGUCUUCCUGACUUCAGGCCCAGCCCUCUAUCCACCGAGCCACCUAGCUGCCCUAUUGCACAUUCAAGACUCCUGUUGGUUCUGUGACCAUGAUUCCAAGUCAGGCUGCUCUUGUAGCCUCUCUACUCUGUUGUCCAUUCAGACUAAAAUGCCACCUUGCUCCCAAACUAUUCUGCCCCUUGCCAGAUCACCACUGGCAAGGAUCCCACUCCCAGCAUUCCAAAGAUGCAUGGCCCCAGACGAAGUUAUCCUCAAUUGUGGCUUUGUUUCAGAACUUGUCCCACCCCCUUCUUCUUUAGACAAGUCUGGCUGGAUAGCCCAAGUGACCCCUGUGGCCAGGCACGGUUACAGGAAGGAGUGAGAAACAAGUAGGCAUGCUAUGUGUAGGUAUCUCUGUGUGCAUGGAUACAACAUGCAUACACAUAUGUGUUUUAUUGUAUGUGUAUUGUAUUAUGCAUGUAUAUAUAUGUAUGCUUGGACUGGCAGGCUCACGUGUAAUGUGUUGUGUUUUGCAUGUAUAUGUAUGUUUUUACAUGU